UGGGGUGUAGCUCAGUGGUAGAGUGCUUGCCUAGAAUCCAUGAGGCCCUGGGUUCCAUUCCCAGAACCACAA
Molecule: transfer RNA, 72 nt
Filed under: Heterocephalus glaber (naked mole-rat)
Lineage: Eukaryota; Metazoa; Chordata; Mammalia; Rodentia; Bathyergidae
Rfam family: tRNA
About the family: Transfer RNA (tRNA) molecules are approximately 80 nucleotides in length.
Source: Rfam by way of RNAcentral